This 404-nucleotide ribosomal RNA is filed under the name Actinomycetes bacterium. Its description in RNAcentral is "Actinobacteria bacterium partial 16S ribosomal RNA". It matches the Rfam family "Bacterial small subunit ribosomal RNA", at positions 355 to 776 of the family's 1533-position model. Lineage: Bacteria; Bacillati; Actinomycetota; Actinomycetes. The record is from RNAcentral.
UGGGGAAUAUUGGACAAUGGGCGCAAGCCUGAUCCAGCCAUGCCGCGUGAGUGAUGAAGGCCCUAGGGUUGUAAAGCUCUUCCACCGGUGAAGAUAAUGACGGUAACCGGAGAAGAAGCCCCGGCUAACUUCGUGCCAGCAGCCGCGGUAAUACGCAGGGGGCUAGCGUUGUUCGGAUUUACUGGGCGUAAAGCGCACGUAGGCGGACUAUUAAGUCUGGGGUGAAAUCCCGGGGCUCAACCCCGGAACUGCCUUUGAUACUGGUAGUCUUAAAUUCGAGAGAGGUGAGUGGAGUUCCGCGUGUAGAGGUGAAAUUCGUAGAUAUUCGGAGGAACACCAGUGGCGAAGGCGGCUCACUGGCUCGAUACUGACGCUGAGGUGCGAAAGCGUGGGGAGCAAACAGG